This 376-nucleotide ribosomal RNA is filed under the name uncultured bacterium. RNAcentral describes it as "bacterial SSU rRNA". It matches the Rfam family "Bacterial small subunit ribosomal RNA", at positions 523 to 897 of the family's 1533-position model. The record is from RNAcentral.
AUACGUAGGGGGCGAGCGUUGUCCGGAAUUACUGGGCGUAAAGGGUGCGUAGGCGGUCCUUUAAGUUGGAUGUGAAAUACCCGGGCUUAACCUGGGGGGUGCAUUCAAGACUGGGGGACUAGAGUUCAGGAGAGGGAAGCGGAAUUCCUAGUGUAGCGGUGAAAUGCGUAGAUAUUAGGAGGAACACCAGUGGCGAAGGCGGCUUUCUGGACUGACACUGACGCUGAGGCACGAAAGCGUGGGGAGCAAACAGGAUUAGAUACCCUGGUAGUCCACGCUGUAAACGAUGAAUACUAGGUGUAGGGGGUAUCAACUCCCUCUGUGCCGCAGCAAACGCAAUAAGUAUUCCGCCUGGGGAGUACGGCCGCAAGGUUGA